CUUCUGUGAACCCUUUACCACUUGCAAAAUUAUUUAUUUCCAGACUUUUUUUUAUUUAUGACUUGAACAUCAAAACGUCAAAGAAUAAAAUUACACAACUGUAUGUUAAAAGAACAUUACACUAUUGUACGAAAAUAUAGUUUCAUCGUUGCAAUAUCCUAACACAAAAUUAGAAAGACCUGCAUUUUAAUUGAACCUUUUAAUACCAAUAAAUUUUUUUUUUUAGAAAAGAAAACCAAUAAAAAAAUAUAGAAAUUGCACUGCAUAUACAAAGAUAACUAGUAUAUUUGCGGGAAUGGAAUUUAACAUUUCUCGCUGAUGUGUUUUUUAUUGUCUGUAUUACCCCUAUUCAUUAUACAAAACACUUCUUGUUUCGAAAACGACCAUUUCAUCUCUCAUCUUUCCCAUUCUCAUUGUUUACUCCGCCGAAAUUUUCUGUUAUUUAUCUCUCUCCUCUCUCCAAAUUCUCUCAUCCUCUCUUUUACAGAACUUUCAUCUUCACCGUUUGCAUGUAUUCGGAUUUUCACCGGACAGAGGAAUAAGAAAAUGUUUCGAAAAAAGAAGAUGAUUGGUUCAAAUAUAUUUGACCCUAAGACAGAGAUGGACUCAAUUUUCUCUCACCAUGGUUCAUCUCCAAAUGGUGAUUUCGGUUCUGAUUUCAACCUCAGGAACUUCUCAUCGAAAUCAUAGGUGGGCCGUCGGAUUCUAAGUCCUAUGGUGAAGGUUGCACGAGGAUUCUCAUUCGCUCCCACCGACUCUGUAUCCCAGAUCCUCUCGCCUACUUCAAGGGUCUAUAGCUGGAGGGUCCAAAGGCUUGUAAAGUACCAGUUUCCAGCAAAAAUCUUAUAAACAUUACAGAGAGGACUAGACCAGUUUCAGCCAAGGUCUAUAACCGUUGGUGGCAUUUCAGUUCCCAGCAAAGAUCUUAUAGGUACUUCCAAGAGGACCAGACCAAAAUUUAUAUCAAUAACAAGUUUUAGUUUAGCCGUUUUUAUCUAGAGAUAUUCCCUCAGGUGCUUUCGGUUGUAAAGCAUAAAUAUGUGAUUAAUUAACUGGCUCCAAAUGUAUUUAUCCAAUCAUAGUAUAGUUUAGCUUUUUAUCACAUAUUCACAAUUACUGGCUAACAUUGGAUAUCAUUAAGAGAUCUCAAGGUUCAUACAUCAUUAAUGGGUUUCAUUCU
This is a long non-coding RNA of Brassica napus (rape), 1180 nucleotides long. RefSeq lists it as uncharacterized. The record is from RefSeq and is a predicted model, not a curated record. NCBI's taxonomy places the organism in Eukaryota, Viridiplantae, Streptophyta, Magnoliopsida, Brassicales, Brassicaceae. The transcript has 3 exons.